Molecule: RNA transcript, 3779 nt
Organism: Pezoporus occidentalis (night parrot)
Lineage: Eukaryota; Metazoa; Chordata; Aves; Psittaciformes; Psittacidae
Gene: PAPOLA
Gene name: poly(A) polymerase alpha
Exons: 23
Source: RefSeq, a predicted model, not a curated record
AUACGGGGGUGGCCGUGCCGCUACGUCAGGCUCCCCCCGGUCUAGGAUGUUGCUGUGGUAGCGUCUGGGCGCCAUGUUAGAAGGCCGGAGGGGAAGAGGAAAGUGAAGCGGCGGCGGUUUGGCCUACCGAACGGCUUUCUCUCUCCGAGGCCUGAUCCCGGCGCGUAUCAUGGUCACGAUUCCCGUUUCCCAGCGGGACGAGUGACUGGCCCGGAGGCGGCAGUGGUGGGGGAGAACGAAGAAGAGGAGGAGGGAGAAGGGGACGACGCGGUGGUGGUGGUGGUGGCGGCGGCGACGGAGGAGGAGGAGGAGGAGGGGCUGGAGAGACGAUGCCGUUUCCCGUUACAACCCAGGGAUCACAAACACAGCAACUACAGAAGCAUUAUGGCAUUACCUCACCUAUCAGUUUAGCUGCCCCCAAGGAGUUUGACUGCAUACUUACCCAGAAAUUAAUUGAAACCUUAAAACCUUAUGGUGUAUUUGAAGAGGAAGAAGAAUUGCAGCGCAGGAUUCUAAUUUUGGGAAAAUUAAAUAACCUGGUAAAGGAAUGGAUACGGGAAAUCAGUGAAAGCAAGAAUCUUCCACAAUCUGUAAUAGAAAAUGUUGGAGGAAAAAUUUUUACAUUUGGAUCCUAUAGAUUAGGGGUUCAUACAAAAGGUGCUGAUAUUGAUGCCCUCUGUGUUGCACCAAGACAUGUUGAAAGAAGUGACUUUUUCACAUCAUUUUAUGAAAAACUGAAACAACAAGAAGAAGUAAAAGAUCUGAGGGCUGUUGAAGAAGCUUUUGUCCCAGUUAUUAAACUUUGUUUUGAUGGAAUAGAGAUUGAUAUUUUGUUCGCGAGGUUAGCACUGCAAACUAUUCCCGAGGACUUAGACCUACGAGACGAUAGCCUACUUAAAAAUUUAGACAUUAGAUGCAUACGAAGUCUUAAUGGUUGCCGGGUAACCGAUGAAAUUCUGCAUCUAGUACCAAACAUUGACAACUUCAGGUUAACACUGAGAGCUAUCAAACUGUGGGCAAAACGCCACAACAUCUAUUCCAAUAUACUAGGUUUCCUUGGCGGUGUUUCCUGGGCUAUGCUAGUAGCAAGAACUUGCCAGCUUUAUCCAAAUGCAAUAGCAUCAACUCUUGUACAUAAAUUUUUCUUGGUAUUUUCUAAAUGGGAAUGGCCAAAUCCAGUGCUAUUGAAACAGCCAGAAGAAUGCAAUCUUAAUUUGCCUGUAUGGGACCCAAGGGUAAACCCCAGUGAUAGGUACCAUCUUAUGCCUAUAAUUACACCAGCAUACCCACAGCAGAACUCUACCUACAAUGUGUCCGUUUCCACACGGAUGGUCAUGGUUGAGGAAUUUAAACAAGGUCUUGCUAUCACAGAUGAAAUUUUGCUGAGUAAGGCAGAGUGGUCCAAACUUUUUGAAGCUCCAAACUUCUUUCAAAAGUACAAGCAUUAUAUUGUACUUCUAGCAAGUGCACCGACAGAAAAACAGCGUCUAGAAUGGGUGGGCUUGGUGGAAUCAAAAAUUCGUAUUCUAGUUGGAAAUCUGGAGAAGAAUGAAUUCAUUACGUUGGCUCAUGUGAAUCCACAGUCAUUCCCAGCACCCAAGGAGAAUCCUGACAAAGAAGAAUACCGUACAAUGUGGGUGAUUGGGUUGGUGUUUAAGAAAACAGAGAAUUCUGAGAAUUUAAGUGUUGACCUUACCUAUGACAUUCAGUCUUUUACAGACACAGUUUAUAGGCAAGCAAUAAACAGCAAGAUGUUUGAGAUGGAUAUGAAGAUUGCUGCAAGGCAUGUGAAACGUAAGCAACUUCACCAACUGCUACCUAAUCACGUGCUUCAGAAAAAGAAAAAGCAUUCAACAGAAGGGAUCAGGUUGACAACUCUGAAUGACAGCAGCCUAGACUUGUCUAUGGACAGUGAUAACAGCACGUCUGUGCCUUCACCUACUAGUGCUAUGAAGACGAGUCCAUUGAACAGUUCUGGAAGCUCUCAGGGCAGAACCAGUCCUGCGCCAGCUGUAACAGCAGCAUCUGUGACCAACAUACAGGCUUCUGAAGUCACUGUGCCACAAAUAAAUUCCAGUGAAAGCUCAGGGGGUACUUCAAAUGAAAGCAUUCCUCAAACUGCCACGCAACCAGCCAUUUCUCCACCACCAAAGCCUACCAUCUCUAGAAUUGCUUCCUCAGCGUGUCUGCUAAAUCCAUCACCAAGAACUUCAGGAAAUGUUGCAACAAAAAUGCCUAGCCCUGUCACAGCAGUGAAAAGGACAUCAUCUCCCCAUAAGGAAGAGUCUCCUAAGAAAAUAAAAAUUGAAGAGCAGGAUGAAAUAAGCGAAGAUACUAGCUGUAUAGAUUUCAAUGAACAUGAAAAAAUGGACAUUAAGGAGCAACUUGAGACAGAAGUGAAUGUUAAUUCUCAAACAGAAACUCUUCAGACACCUUCUCUGCAAGCUCCUCAGAUGGUCAUUGAUCUUAAUGAAUGUGCAUUGUAGCUAAACAUGUAUGGCUUGCCAUACAAACUGACUGAAGCUGGAUUCGCUCUUCUGAAUUGUGCCUUCAAAAAAACACCCAGUACAGACCUUUCAGAUAUCCCUGCUCUCCCUGCAAAUCCUAUUCCUGUUAUCAAGAAUUCAAUAAAAUUGAGAUUGAAUCGGUAAAAACAACCUCAGGGGUCCAUAAACAAUAUCUGCCAACUCAACCUGUUGUCUUCUAAUGCUAUUAAAAAAGGAGAAUGGAGGGUGCAAGACUAGAACAUAAUCGCAAAUGGAUUUAGGUAUAUUUUGUGCACUUCCCUUUCUGGGCUAAAAUCACCACUUGAUUGGAAGUCCAGGUUAGUAUGUGAAGCCAGGAGUACAAUUAAUGUGUUAGCAACAGUUGCAUUAAGUAUUUCGAAGGAUUACUGCCUUUAAAAACAUGAACACUAUUUGUAGCCAUAUUUGACAUUCUGAUUGAAUUUGUUUGAUGCAUUGUUUCAAAAUUGAGAUAAAACUGGCAUAAGAAUCCCUUAAAUGCACUUUUAUGUAGUUUUUUUUAUUGGAGUAUGACUAAUUUUAGAUCUUAGCUCUGAUACACUUUCGUUUUAUUGAAGAAUAUCUUCAGUAGUGCAAAUUGGAUGAUGUUCUACAAUAUACUAUGCAUUGAAAACAAGUGUGUAGUAUAUCUAGUUCAACUGCCAUCAAGCAGCAGUAAGCCUUUAGAAUGAAAUGUCAAAUGUUGAGGUUAUAAGACAUAAGUUGAGGGAGUAAUUGGGAAGUUUUGGUAUUGGUGGGACUGGGACAUGAUUAAGAUGUGGUCUACUUUUUAUUUAUAGGAUUGUUUUAAGGUGCAUACAGAUCAGCAGUGAAACAGCAAAUAAACUUUCCUUUGAGCUAAUCAAACUCUUUAUUACCUUUUUUUUUGAUCCCUUUAUUUCUUGGGAAAAGCUUUUGUGUUUAAUGGUGGGUGGGGUUUUUUUGUUCGUGUCUUUUUUUCUUUCCUCUCCAGCUUGUAUGCACCAUGUAUGACAAUGGUUAUUUACACAAAAAAAAACAAGCCAUGUAUUCAUUUGGAUUCCCUCUUGCUCCUUACCUUGUCGUAAUACCUUUUGGCCUGUAGGCACAAAUUCAGAAUUUUGUCUCAUGACUAAAGUGUUUAAGUAAAUAUUGCGUGCCUGUGAAAUACAACACCCGUCUUGAUGGCCUUUGAAUCACUAAAUAUAAGGUGAUUUUUGUACACUCCAUGAAAGUCCUGUAUGCAUUAAAAAGCUUCAAAUUUUAAAUAAAGGCAAAAAGAUUUUUCCCGAAGAA